This 198-nucleotide ribosomal RNA is filed under the name uncultured bacterium. RNAcentral's name for it is "partial 16S ribosomal RNA". It matches the Rfam family "Bacterial small subunit ribosomal RNA", at positions 328 to 539 of the family's 1533-position model. The record is from RNAcentral.
ACGCUCGACACCUACGGGAGGCCGCAGUGGGGAAUAUUGCACAAUGGGGGAAACCCUGAUGCAGCGACGCCGCGUGGAGGAAGAAGGUCUUCGGAUUGUAAACUCCUGUUGUUGGGGAAAAAGAGGAUGGUACCCAACAAGGAAGUGACGGCUAACUACGUGCCAGCAGCCGUGGUAAUCUGAGCGGGCUGGCAAGGC